CACGUAGGGCGCAAGCGUUGUCCGGAAUUAUUGGGCGUAAAGAGCUCGUAGGUGGUUUGUCGCGUUGUUCGUGAAAACUCACAGCUUAACUGUGGGCGUGCGGGCGAUACGGGCAGACUGGAGUACUGCAGGGGAGACUGGAAUUCCUGGUGUAGCGGUGGAAUGCGCAGAUAUCAGGAGGAACACCGGUGGCGAAGGCGGGUCUCUGGGCAGUAACUGACGCUGAGGAGCGAAAGCGUGGGGAGCGAACAGG
Molecule: ribosomal RNA, 253 nt
Filed under: uncultured bacterium
Lineage: Bacteria
Description: partial 16S ribosomal RNA
Rfam family: Bacterial small subunit ribosomal RNA
Source: RNAcentral